CUGGGUUCAUCUCAGGGAGCCGUUACUACGCCAGAGCUUGGUCUUACCGCUACUUGAGCUUGUAACGUACCAGUUUUUCCAAUGGAAUUAUCACAUUGUGUUACUACUUAUUUGCAUGUUCCUACUGCCCUGUUAAUCUAGGAAAUUCUCAAGGGCAGUAACUAUUUAUUAUUAACUUUGGAAUCCCUCAUUCUUGGCACGUUACUUGAAAAUAUUCAUGGAUUUACCUUCUGCUUAUCUUAAUUACCCGAGACGCAAAGAUCGGGAAACCACGCGACACUGGACAGCUUGAUGUUUUCCUAGCAGCACGUGGGAUGAUCCCAGCACGCAGAGAAGGAGCCUGUGCCCGAGGACGCCUGCGGCUGAGCUCAGUGCCCCUCUCCCCACAGCGAGUCUGUUCUCACGGGGUCCCCUCCCCCCACGUGAGCCCCGGAGCCUCCUGCCAGCGCUGACCAAAGUGCACAUGGGCAGCUUGGCCCUUGGCCCUCCCAGCGACAGUUUGCUUUGGCUUGUUGUGGUUUCUCUCUUUUGCCGCUCACUUCUAUCAACACCCUUAUUUCUUGGGAGGCACUUUGCAAGAGACCCGAAGGCAGACAAGCGCCCUGACUCCACGAGCUUACAGCCUGAGCGCGGAGACCCCUCACAGGGGACAGCUCUUCAAAGCAGCAAAAAUCCAUUAUAACGGAGGUAGGAACAAGGUGCUAUGGAGCAGAGGGAGGAGAAAAUGGAGUCUGUCUGGGGAGGUCUCGAGGCUUUGGAAAAGCGGGAAUAUUUGAGUUGGGUCUUGAAGAUGUGACUGUGGGGAGCGUUCCUGUAGGCAGGCGGAGGGCAGGCGCGUCAGCAAGGCAUGUUAGCAGCCCAAGUAGGGUGAACAGGUGUUCACACGGGUGGAGGGCAUAGUGGAGGGAAGAUGGAGAUGACAGGCUGGGGUCGUAUGGAGGAGCACCUCGCAGGCGGCGCCGAGGCUCUGAAGACCGUCAGCAGGGGAGUGGCGUGAUUAACCCUGUGCUUGACACAGGGCCAGCCAGGAGGCCGGAGAGAGUGAGGGACCAUGGCAAUAGUCCAGGCCAGGAGAGCUAAUGAGGUCGCCACUAGGGCAGUGUCUGUGGCAAGGAGAGCUGAACGUGUUGCGAGUUCUGCAAAAGCUGAGACCCACUGUGCAGAAAGGGAGAGCCAUCGUGGAGCCGCCCAGCAAACGCUCGAAGACGCGAUCGUGCUCCCCACACUGCGGACUGUUGAGUGGCGUGGUUUCCUCGUCAGACCCAUUGCUCACACGUUUAGUAAUACCAUGGGCCAGGGCGUGUGUGUGAAAACGGCAUGCACAUGCCCAAGGCCAGUGGGGACAAGAGAGGACAAACUUGCCUGCCCUGGGGUUCUCUUCUCUUCUCUUCUUCACGGGGCUGGAGGCUCAUUUGCUGGGUCCCAUGGAGGAAGGACACCAGACAUCCGCCUUCUGUCUACACCCCACAGAAACCCAGACAGAGCAACCUAUGCUUCGGUCAUGAAAGAGGGGAGAACUUUACUUCUUCCGUGAUUAAAUUAGAUGCAAAAGAUAUGAUUAAUUAUCAGUUGGAGAUUCAUUUUCCCUCUCUCCGAAGAGAUUGCCUUCUGGGAAGUAUGGAAUUAUCCUGGCACUAAGGCAGCUCUGAGAACCCAAGAGCGGGAGAGUUGCAGAGCAGACGCCACAGCAGCUCCUGGCUGUAUGCCCCACAGGCCGCCUGGCAAGCUGGGGUUCUGGCCGAGCCUUGGUGGGCCUCGGCUCCUGUAAUGAAUUCAGUUAGAAGCUCUCGUAGUAAAACUGGCCUCUCUUUUCCAAGGGGAGCAACAGGCUUCGUGUAUGACUCUAUUUGUCCCCAGUUGCUGAAAAUACUCACUACUGCUCCUCAUGUGUAAGACAAGGGUUAGGCUGCCUCAGCAGGGUUCAGCUGCAGAGAACAAAUCCACUGUAGCUUAGUUUUAGCAGGAAGAGAUUUAUUACAAGAUUUUCAGCAGCUUGCAGCAUGAUGUAAGAGGUGAGGAAACACACUCGAGGUUCAGCAAUGACUCCUAAAGCCACACCUCAGAGCUGGGCCACCGAGGAAGCUGCGGCCUCUCCUCCGACUUGGAAGCUUCCGUGGUGGCCUGGAUCUGACCUCUUUUCUGCCUCCAUCAGCCCUGAGACCAUAACUUCUCUCCUGGUUCCGUACCUGAACCACACUGUUGCAGUCCGCUGCAGUAAACAGAUGCCCUAGAGCCCACGUAGUCACUCUCUCCCAGCCACUGGUUAGUCUUGGGCCCUCUGCCGAACAGACACCCCCCACAACUGUGCCUGCCAGAGCAGCCAGGCGGAGCCCACACCUCGCUUAGGUUCCAGAGCCCACCCACGGGUGUCAAUCAGCUGAAUAGAAACUAGACUCAGGUCCCUAACUGCAACGAGGCUGCAAAUGGAAAAUCUCACAUUCAGGUUCCGCAGUGCUGGCAGGACAGUGCCGCACACCAGGCCGUGUCCCCACACAGUCCACCGUGAGAUGGGGAGAGAAUAAGACGCUCAGACCUGUUCCCAGACUUAAGAACCAAGGACGUCCUGUCUCGCCAUGAUUCCUUCCCCAGCAUUUGGUCUGGACAAUCUGGUCCUCUCUCCAUCUCACGCAGGGUGUGUAAUGGGACAUCUGUCUUCUGUCCUAUCAGGCACCCGGCUGCGUUCCCUCCCACUUCCUCUACUCAUGAAAGUCUUGCCCAGCCUUCAAAACACAGUUCAGGUCUUCAGUGAAGGCUUCAGCUGCUCUGUCCUCGUGCAGUCUCUCUCCCUGGGCACUGUCCCUUAUGGUCUCCUCCAAGCCACUUAGCAUGUAUGUAACCUCGUGUGUCAGGCUGUUGAUCACCGGGAAAGUGCUUUCUGAAUAAUGAUCCUGACUCUCCAAUUAGAUGGAGAGCUCCUGUGGGAAGAGCUGGGACCAGGUCGCCUGCUCUUCUUAUAUUCCUAACAGUUUCAUAGCUCAGUGCUGAAAGCAGAAAAGCCAUUCAAUUCCUAGGCUCAGAAAAGUCUAUUUCCUACAUCAUAGGAGGGGAUGAUGAUGGCAGCCCUGCUUCCCUGUGUGUGUGUGUGUGGUUGGACUCAAGAUCAAAAAGGUUAAUGUACAGAAAAGGCACUGUGGUCUUUCCUGUUACUGCUACUGAACAGAAUCUGCUCUUAUUACCAAAUCACACUGCAAAUGAGCCUAAGAACGUGGCCGACAAAGCUCGGGUCUUGGGUCUUCCCUUCAGGGCUCCUCUGCCCUGUGGAGACACAACCAGUCUGCCCGUCUCAGGUAAGUAGCUAAAGUGAAGCAUGAAAACGGAAGACAGAAGAUGAGGUACCUAACAUGUGGUUUGGGCUUACUGCAGGAAUUAAUUAUAGUCGGCUCAAACGCAAACUUCUCACUUCCACCCUUCUCCAAAACAAACAGAGUUGGGUAAGCAGGCCAUCCCUGAAGACUUUGAAGCUAAGUUCUCCCCGUCUGAGGAGGGUUGCACGGCAGCCACAAAGGUGGUUAGUCUUGGUGGAAAUGGUCCUGACUGCUCACAAAAGCCAAAGGACCCUAUGGGCUUUGGUCCUCUCAGUUACUCUCCAGGCUAGUUGCAUAUAUAGUUCAGCCAUAUGUGAGGGGGGUGAAUGGUGGCUUCAAGCAAGAGAGAAAAGAAAACAUUAGGAGGUAUUCAAUAUUUCCCCUAGAUCACUCUCCUCACUCCUGAGAAAAGAAAAAGAAGACAAACUGAGUUUUGAUGAGUUUUGUGUCUCUAUCUCCAACAUAAACCCAAAUUCACUCAAAAUCUUUUAAAUCUGCUCUGCAUUUUCAACGGAAAAUAUUUUCCCCAGAGAAGUUGAUGCGAAGUUGCUUAAGAAAGUACGACUGAAAUACACAGAAUGAAAGUUCACGGUUAACGUUGAGAGCAUGUCGGGUAAGACAACUGAGAUGACAUUGCAUCUCAGUCGGGGUUCUCACUGCUGACAAGUCAGGUACCCCAACCACAAGCCCUUUUUCCAUUUCUCUCAUCACUGAUUUACAUUUAGGAGGACAAAAUUGUGACUCCUCAUGAAUUUGAGCUAGAACAGCCAAGCUUUCUUAAAUCUUUCUAUUAAUUGGUCAUUCCUGACUUUUCUAUGCAAAUUCUUAUUUGUAGUAAAUAGCAUCACGGUUUUUCCCACCCCUUGUGUGAUUAAUUGCAGCAAAAUAUUAUGAACCACCAUAUCAGUGGCUCUGAGUAUCAAAAUGCGAAGGACAGGCAGUGACCAGAAAGCUAUUGUCAAUAAUGUUUGAACAGCUGUCCCAAGAAACAACUCUGGCUCAGGAGAUGACAUUUUUUUACAGAAAUGAUAAGGGAGGCUUCAUGGUCCACUCAGUUUUAGUGUUUGGGGUAGAAGAGUGAUCCUUGAGGCGACAUAGGUUUUGGUGGUAUAACAGCUGGAUCCGAAGUUAGCAAGAGGGAGGCCAUCUUAGAGAAAGAAGCAACAUUGUAACUCUGCCUCUGACUCACUGGUGUCUGUGGAUACAUUCUAGCCUGCACGUAGCACCGAUGAUUAAGCACCUCUUACUUUAACAAAAUACAUCAUCUGCUAGUCCUAUGACUCUUGCUUACUUAUAUUUCCUAACUGUGAUAAGACAAUAACUUUGUUCUCUGAGUUCCCCAGGAACAUGACGACCUCCAUAAAGAAAAUUCUGCUUUGGUGUCCAUCAAAAAUGACAGAAGAAAGAGGUCCUUCUAGUUGUGGCAUGUGGGACGCCGCCUCAGCAUGGCCUGAUGAGCGGUGCCAUGUCUGUGCCCAGGAUCUGAACUGGCGAAACCCUGGGCCGCCGCAGACUGGCUAUUUCUUAUAAAGUUACACACAAACUUACAAUAUGACUCAACAAUUCCUUUUUUAAAAAUAGAAAUAAAAACAUAUUUUCACAAAAAGACUUGCACACAAACAUUCAUAGAAGCUUUACUCAAAAAAAGCCAAAACAUAGCAGAAAAAAAAAGAAGUAUUUUUUGUUUUUGUUGAUGGACGAGCAGGUGUCCAUAUGGUGGAAACUUUAUCUACUGCUCAGCAAUAAAAGAAUGAACUCCUGACACACACAAAAGCAGGGAUGAUUCUCAAAACCAUUAUGCUGAGAGCAAAAGAAGCUCGACACAAAGAGCUCACACUGUUUGAAUGCAUUUACAG
This 5161-nucleotide long non-coding RNA is filed under the name Equus caballus (horse). Its description in RNAcentral is "lncRNA (ENSECAG00000045747.1)". Lineage: Eukaryota; Metazoa; Chordata; Mammalia; Perissodactyla; Equidae. The record is from RNAcentral.